GACGAACGCUGGCGGCGUGCUUAACACAUGCAAGUCGAACGGAAAGGCCCUGCUUUUGUGGGGUGCUCGAGUGGCGAACGGGUGAGUAACACGUGAGUAACCUGCCCUUGACUUUGGGAUAACUUCAGGAAACUGGGGCUAAUACCGGAUAGGAGCUCCUGCUGCAUGGUGGGGGUUGGAUAGUUUCGGCGGUUGGGGAUGGACUCGCGGCUUAUCAGCUUGUUGGUGGGGUAGUGGCUUACCAAGGCUUUGACGGGUAGCCGGCCUGAGAGGGUGACCGGCCACAUUGGGACUGAGAUACGGCCCAGACUCCUACGGGAGGCAGCAGUGGGGAAUAUUGCACAAUGGGCGGAAGCCUGAUGCAGCAACGCCGCGUGCGGGAUGACGGCCUUCGGGUUGUAAACCGCUUUCGAAUGUGACGAAGCGUGAGUGACGGUAAUGGGUAAAGAAGCACCGGCUAACUACGUG
Molecule: ribosomal RNA, 468 nt
Filed under: uncultured bacterium
Lineage: Bacteria
Description: partial 16S ribosomal RNA
Rfam family: Bacterial small subunit ribosomal RNA
Source: RNAcentral